RNAcentral lists this ribosomal RNA (254 nucleotides) under uncultured bacterium. RNAcentral's name for it is "partial 16S ribosomal RNA". It matches the Rfam family "Bacterial small subunit ribosomal RNA", at positions 524 to 775 of the family's 1533-position model. The record is from RNAcentral.
UACGUAGGGGGCGAGCGUUGUCCGGAUUCAUUGGGCGUAAAGAGCUCGUAGGCGGCUUGGCAAGUCGGAUGUGAAAACUCCAGGCUCAACCUGGAGCCGCCAUUCGAUACUGCUAUGGCUAGAGUCCGGUAGGGGAGUGUGGAAUUCCCGGUGUAGCGGUGAAAUGCGUAGAGAUCCGGAAGAACACCGGUGGCGAAGGCGGUGAGCUGGGCAGUAGCUGGACACUGAGGCGCGACAGCGUGGGGAGCAACAGG